GUCCCACCGCCAUCUUUGCGGUGGGUUCUGCUGAAGCCGAACGAUCCUGCAUAUUGUGUUUUUUGUUGUUGUUGUUUUAAGCCCUGGGCUUUCCAGGCUGAACUUUCUCACUACCAUUACACUGAAAAAGAGCCCUUGAAAGUUUUGCUCGGAUCUUGCACAUUCUUUUGGAAGUCUUACUGUGGAAAUUGUCCGUGUUUUCAGCUUCCACAUCCCUUUCUCCUGGGAGAUUUCUUUUCCGUUUUUUUUACUUUGUCUCUUUUCUUUCCUCCGCAACUGCUUUGUUGUUGUUGUUGUUGUUUCUUGUAAACCACUUCUCAAAAGUGAACUAGUUGCCGUUUAAUAGAAGUUUGGAUGAACUGCCCCCAAAAUAAAGGAAAUCCGAACAGUCAUGGAAGUUGACUCCAAUUGGAGGGAUGGCUCUGAUCAAUUACUCUUUCCACAGAGAAUAACAGAUAGUCCUCAUAGCAUCUAGGAAUUGAACAGCUUGGACUUGGAGACAGUGAGUUAAAACAGAAAUAAGAAGGCGGCAGAAAAAGACUACCAGAUUGAAAUGUGUUGGAUAUUCAUAUCCACCCAGCACCUCAGAAUGUGGCCAUGGAGGAUGGAGACAGAGAUUGGAGUGAUGCAUCUUCAAGCCUAGGAACACUAAGGAUUGCUGGUAAUCACCAGAAGCUGGAAGAGGCAAGAAAGUGUCCUUUCCUAGAGCCUUCAGAGAGAGCGCAGCCCUGCCAACACCUUGAUUAUAUGCUUCAAGCUUCUAGAAUUGUGAGAGAAUAAAUUUCUGUUGUUAUAAGCCACCUAGUUUGUGGUCUUUUGUUAUGGCAGCCCUGGGAAACUAAUAAACAUAAUAGUACUGGGAAGUGAGAUGCUGCUGUAGCAAAUACCUAAAAAUGUGGAAGUGGCUUUGGAACUGGGUAGUGGGUAGAGGCUGGGAGAAUUUUUAGGUGCAUGCCAGAAAAAGCCUGGGUUGCCUUGAAGAGACUGUUGGUAGAAAUACUGAAGUUUAAGGGGCUUCUAGUUAGGGCUCAGAAAGAAGGAAGGAGAGCUAUGGAGAGAGCUUCUAUUGUGUUAAGGCACAUAUAUAUAUUACCACUAAAAGAAUGUUUCUAGAAAUAUG
RNAcentral lists this long non-coding RNA (1120 nucleotides) under Homo sapiens (human). RNAcentral describes it as "non-protein coding TNKS2-AS1:14". Lineage: Eukaryota; Metazoa; Chordata; Mammalia; Primates; Hominidae. The record is from RNAcentral.